GUGGCAGUAGCUCAGUAGUAGAGCUCACGCUUCCUACGCGGGAAGACCUGGGUUCGAUUCCAGGCUGCUUUC
This 72-nucleotide transfer RNA is filed under the name Toxocara canis (dog roundworm). It matches the Rfam family "tRNA". Rfam says of the family: Transfer RNA (tRNA) molecules are approximately 80 nucleotides in length. Their secondary structure includes four short double-helical elements and three loops (D, anti-codon, and T loops). The record is from Rfam by way of RNAcentral. Lineage: Eukaryota; Metazoa; Nematoda; Chromadorea; Rhabditida; Toxocaridae.